GAUACUUUGGCAAGAUGGCGGGGAGCGGCGUCCGCCAAGCUGCCUCUACCGCCAGCACCUUUGUGAAGCCCAUUUUCAGUCGGGACAUGAACGAGGCCAAGCGGAGGGUGCGCGAGCUCUACCGCGCCUGGUAUCGGGAGGUGCCGAACACUGUACACCAAUUCCAGCUGGACAUCACUGUCAAAAUGGGACGGGAUAAAGUCCGAGAAAUGUUUAUGAAGACCCCAGGGUGGUUGAUCUUCUGGUCAUUAAGGGAAAGAUGGAACUGGAAGAAACAAAGUAUGGAAGCAGCGGACACAUGUUAUGCGGUUCUUCCAUGAAACAGAAGCGCCAAGGCCGAAGGAUUUCCUAUCCAAGUUCUAUGUUGGCCAUGACCCAUAAAGUCACUCAGUGGAAAGGUGCAUGUUGAUAUUAUUUUAGAGCACAAAUAAACUCACUAUACGAUGGUCAAAAAAAAAAAAAAAAAAAAAAAAAAGAAA
Mandrillus leucophaeus (drill) is the source of this 479-nucleotide RNA transcript. It is a transcript of the gene named NADH dehydrogenase [ubiquinone] 1 alpha subcomplex subunit 6-like, with no coding region annotated. Lineage: Eukaryota; Metazoa; Chordata; Mammalia; Primates; Cercopithecidae. The transcript has a single exon. The record is from RefSeq and is a predicted model, not a curated record.